Scophthalmus maximus (turbot) is the source of this 1351-nucleotide long non-coding RNA. RefSeq lists it as uncharacterized. The transcript is spliced from 3 exons. The record is from RefSeq and is a predicted model, not a curated record. Lineage: Eukaryota; Metazoa; Chordata; Actinopteri; Pleuronectiformes; Scophthalmidae.
GUAGUGUCCUUUGUUGAAGCAAAGGUGGCACAGGUAGUUGGGCGGCGGCCGUUUGCUGUGCUUGUGUGUCUCGGGGGACAGGGAGAGGUCUGAGAAAUGGUCCGCCAGCGAGCUCAGGCCAUCCACGAUAUUGUUGAGGGACCCGUAGGGCGACGAGCUCUUGUAGAAAUUGUUGUUCAAGGCCUGUCCGAGAAAAACAUAGACCAAGAUGAUACAUCAGUGGCAAUGGAGCCGUGUGGACGUAAAGGUUGAAAUAUACGGUGGAUAUACAUGAAAGCAGGGCCACAUCUGACCAUUAGUCUAAUAACCAUUAAAACAAUUUUCCAAAGACCAAAGUGAUGUCCACAAAUAGGACACAGAAGAACAUUGUUGUGGCUCGACGAUGAAAGAGCAUUUCAGCCAGCAUGUCAGUCCAUCACCCUGAUGGAUUCUCCUGUUUGUCUCUCUGACAGUGGCCGACUUUAUUUCAUUUCUGCAGAUGUGCUGCCUUUAGCGCAUUCACUCUGUGCGCCCAAUGGUGUCCAUUUCCUCGUCAGAACAAAAUGUCUUUGUCGCGUAUUAUUCCGACUGGUCCUAUUGGCACAACACAAUCAGCAUCAUUGUGUCUCUGGAGGAGACGGUGCUAUGGCACCGCAGGGCAAGCAUGAAGAACAGUCUGCAGACACUGGCUGUUUACUCUGGAGGCAUCACAGAAAGAGAAUUGUGAUCAGAUGCACUUGUACAGUGCAGUGUACAUGUUCUACAUGAGACAUCAACCCACUGCAUAUCUGUGGCAUGUGUGCAGUUACAGAGUCAGUAUUAAGCAACACCAGGUCCCACUGACUGAGGGCUGCUUACAUCCCGGACCGAGCAGAGGCCAGCCAGGGUGAACCCCUCACACUUUUAGAACCUUGUGAGAGGUUUAAAAGCUUCAUCUUGUUUUUUUCCUCAACCUGCCAUUCCUCCACCAGCUGCACACUGACACCAGAAAACAGUCUGAACACACUCAGGCAGUAUACCAGGGUACAAAACACAUAUUCAUAUGCUAACCACUCACCACAGUGCGACCCAAUGAAGGCAUGCAGGUGAGGUUUACUGUAUGGGCUACAAAAAUAACCCCGAGUGAAAUAUGAGGGUAUGGUAUUCAUGGACACCCUUGGAGGAAUGAAUGAUAUGCAGCAAAAAAAAAUAAAAAAUCAACAACAACAGUGGAUGUAAGUUUCAACAAAGCAUGCAUGUGGAAAACUGUCAAAGUGCCAUGCAAAGUGACUUCUACCUCACUCCUCAGAUGGAAGAAGUUGUUGAGAUAGUUGGAGCUCAGAUCCGCUGCGCUGCGCUUGGAGUUGCUCAUGUCCCGGGGGGAGGUGUCCGA